CCUACGGGAGGCAGCAGCCGCGGUAAUACGUAGGGUGCGAGCGUUAAUCGGAAUUACUGGGCGUAAAGCGUGCGCAGGCGGUUUUGUAAGUCGGAUGUGAAAUCCCCGGGCUCAACCUGGGAACUGCGUUCGAAACUGCAAGGCUAGAGUGUGUCAGAGGGGGGUAGAAUUCCACGUGUAGCAGUGAAAUGCGUAGAGAUGUGGAGGAAUACCAAUGGCGAAGGCAGCCCCCUGGGAUAACACUGACGCUCAUGCACGAAAGCGUGGGGAGCAAACAGGAUUAGAUACCCUGGUAGUCCACGCCCUAAACGAUGUCAACUAGUUGUUGGUAGAGUAAAAUCUAUGAGUAACGUAGCUAACGCGUGAAGUUGACCGCCUGGGGAGUACGGUCGCAAGAUUAAAACUCAAAUGAAUUGACGG
RNAcentral lists this ribosomal RNA (420 nucleotides) under uncultured bacterium. Its description in RNAcentral is "bacterial SSU rRNA". It matches the Rfam family "Bacterial small subunit ribosomal RNA", at positions 500 to 916 of the family's 1533-position model. The record is from RNAcentral.